CUAUUUAGCUCUUGCUAACCAAUACAAAACCAAAAGCUUCAAUCCUUCAUCAUCACAAAUAGCAUGGUAGCACCUCGGAACGAAACAUUGGCCUGAUGAAGCCCUUAUCUAACAACUCCUAUAAUUAUUCCUUCCAUCCCUUAAGCUCAGUUGGAAUCAUUUUGUUUGAAGCCUAAGCAAUUGGGUCAUGACCAGGAACCAGCUCAAGUACACACACACACACACACACACACAC
Molecule: long non-coding RNA, 235 nt
Filed under: Elaeis guineensis (African oil palm)
Lineage: Eukaryota; Viridiplantae; Streptophyta; Magnoliopsida; Arecales; Arecaceae
Description: long non-coding RNA (EGUI_LNC042801)
Source: RNAcentral